RNAcentral lists this ribosomal RNA (270 nucleotides) under uncultured archaeon. RNAcentral's name for it is "partial 16S ribosomal RNA". It matches the Rfam family "Archaeal small subunit ribosomal RNA", at positions 477 to 747 of the family's 1478-position model. The record is from RNAcentral.
CUGCAGCCCGAGUGGUGAUCGAUUUUAUUGAGCCUAAAGCGUCCGUAGCCGGACUAGUAAACCCUUGGGUAAAUUGGGCAGCUUAACUGUCCAAAUUCCGUGGGGACUGCUAGUCUUGGGACCGGGAGAGGUCAGAGGUACUCAAGGGGUAGGGGCUAAAUCCUGUAAUCCUUUGGGGACCACCAGUGGCGAAGGCGUCUGACUAGAACGGAUCCGACGGUAAGGGACGAAACCCUGGGGCGCGAACCGGAUUAGAUACCCGAGUAGUCC